UAUAUUAUAUAUUUUGCUUUGUUCAAAAUAAGGUUUUCUAAUAAAUUAUGUUUUUAUCAGAUAUGACAGAAUCUUUUUUAAAAUCUCUUCAAUAUGCUUUUAUUGCUUUUGAGAGGUUUUGUUACUUUGAGUAAAAUUAAGUGUUCAUAACAGACGGGUAGUCAUGAUUGAGUUCAUUGUGUUUGAAUACUACAGCAUGGAAUAACAAAUAUGAAUAAGCUAAUUAUUUUUUUUUUUCAUAAUUUUUUUGGAUAUUCUUAUUAGCUUAGUUACGAUUAAUAGGAGAAGCUUUGGGGGCAUCCGUAUUCAGAUGUCAAAGGUGAAAUUCUAAGAUUUUCUGGAGACGGACUACUGCGAAAGCUUUUGCCUAAUCUAUUUCCAUUAAUCAAGAACGAAAGUUAAGGGAGUGAAGACGAUCAAAUACCGUCCUAAUCUUAACCAUAAACUAUACCAACUAGGUGUUGGAUGAAUAUAAAAAAUAUAUAAAUAUGUAGCAUUUCUUAGGGAAUGUUGAUUUUAUAUUAGAAUUGCUUCCUUCAGUACCUUAUGAAAAAUCAAAGUCUUUGGGUUCGGGGGCGAGUAUUCGCGCAAGCGAGAAAGUUAAAAGAAUUGACGGAAGGGCACCACCAGGCGUGAAGCUUGCGGUUUAAUUUGACUCAACACGGGAAAACUCACUAGUUUAAGACAAGAGUAGGAUUGACAGAUUAAUACCUCUUUCUUGAUUUCUUGGAUGGUGAUGCAUGGCCGUUUUUAGUUCGUGAAUAUGAUUUGUCUGGUUAAUUCCGAUAACGAACGAGAUCUUACCCUGCUAAUUAGCGGUAAGUACACUAUAUUUUUAUUUGAAAUUGAAUAUAGGUAAUUAUACAUGUUUUUUCAGUGUUCAAAUUAAGAUUUUUUUUUAUUAAAAUA
RNAcentral lists this ribosomal RNA (909 nucleotides) under Plasmodium falciparum (malaria parasite P. falciparum). RNAcentral's name for it is "partial small subunit ribosomal RNA". It matches the Rfam family "Eukaryotic small subunit ribosomal RNA", at positions 641 to 1447 of the family's 1831-position model. The record is from RNAcentral. Lineage: Eukaryota; Apicomplexa; Aconoidasida; Haemosporida; Plasmodiidae.